Triticum dicoccoides is the source of this 950-nucleotide long non-coding RNA. RefSeq lists it as uncharacterized. The transcript has 3 exons. Lineage: Eukaryota; Viridiplantae; Streptophyta; Magnoliopsida; Poales; Poaceae. The record is from RefSeq and is a predicted model, not a curated record.
CAUCACCGCGCCGCCACUCCACCUGGUCUCUCCUUCCAGCUCGGGAUCUUCCCAGAUCCAAAUCCUCCCGCAGCCAACCAUCUCCCUCCUAGUGUUCAGCCACGACCGAACCAGUAGGCCCCGCUCCCCCAUCGCACUCAUGGUGUCGUGCAUGUGUCCCUCGAGCCGGAGCUCGCCCACAAGCAGAACCGCCGCCACUCAUCCGGUGCAUCCCGGCGACCCACAGGACCAGGACCUCUGCCCUCGCGCUCCUUCUCCCACCGGCACCUUGUCCUGCUUCUCUCGUUCCCUUCCUCCUCUCUUUUUUUCCUUGGCCCAUGCCUGGCCUGACUCUCUCCCCGUCGCCCACAGGAACCCGUCGGAGAGCACCUCGACCAUGCGGGACCGCAGGAGCGCCGGCCACCGUGGUCCGCGGGUUGCACCGCACCUCUGCUUCGAGCUUUGAUCCGCGCCUCCCCUUCCCGGAUCUGAACUCAGGUGUCUCCCCGCGCUCCGUUCCACCCGUUCCGGCCGGCUUCCGUCGACCCCGUCACCGAAACCCCACUGCAUCGUCUUCUGCAUCGCCAGACACCUGCUGCUGUUUCAGUUCUUAAGGAACGAGAGUAGCAGCGCCUCGUCCUCACAUCGUCUUCGCCCCCGGAGUAACCCACGUCACCGUCUUCGCUACUCGUGGGCCUCCCCUGCCCGACGCCAUGGAUGGCCGCCGCCCCGUUGCUCCGAGACCCAGUCGCCUGGCGCCGCCAUGUUUCCCUACCUCGCCUGCAAGUCCCUGGCGCUGCAUCCCCUACUUCCUUCGAGAGAUGUGGACAACUGCGUUGACCCUUCCACGAUCGAAGUAAGCAGGCCGGGCCAGUGCGCCCCUGCUGGCCUCACCUCACCACUGGACCGGGCCGAAGCCCGUGUGUUGCUUCUUCGGGUUGGUUCCGAUAACGUCGUGUUGUGAGGAUUCG